This 4476-nucleotide long non-coding RNA is filed under the name Heterocephalus glaber (naked mole-rat). RNAcentral describes it as "lncRNA (ENSHGLG00100034501.1)". The record is from RNAcentral. Lineage: Eukaryota; Metazoa; Chordata; Mammalia; Rodentia; Bathyergidae.
CCCCGGCCCGCGGGGUCACUGCCUUCCGCAGCCUGGGGACGCGGGCCGGACUCCGCCACCUGUCGGCCCGUCGGGGCGCCCACUCCCACGUCCCGGGCACCCGCAGACACCCCUCACCCCCGGGCGACGCGCGGAGCCUCUACGGCUCGCGGAGGAGGCGGGGAUCCAGCCGCGCCGCCGAGGGGGACGGGCGCGCAAGUCCAGGGCGGGCGUCCCGGGAGCCCCUCACCUCCGAGGAGUUUCGGGGAGCGAAGCGCGGGACCGGGUGGGGGUGCCCAGGUGAGCCGAAGCCGCUGCGCGCUCUCCGGCAAACAACCCCACAUAAUUAGAAAGAACGGAGUGAAGCCAUGUGCCCUGGAAAUAUCUGACAUGGUUUGUGGCUUGGAGCAAAAGAAGAAAACUGAAGCCAGGCUAACUUCAAAAGGCAUCAUCCCCUUUAGAAUUACUGGUCUUUCUUCUAAUAUCUGGAAACAUCUCUAAACUGGCUCCUAAAGCCUCUUUUCUUCCACAGGCAAAUAGCUGGACAGAACUGCAAUGCCUCCCAAUUUAACCAGCUCUUAGCACUAUUUAGUUAUCCAGUGAUGCCAGUGCCAUUGAAAUAGUAUUCCAAUUUUUCCAACCUCCCUCUGGAAACUUCACAAACCAUUGUCAUUAUCAAAAUGGUGAAAAAGUGUCUUUGUCAAGAUGGAACAUUACACAAAUGGAGCACCCACAAAGCUCAUUAACACACCUGGUUUGACUGCCUUCCUGAAAACAGUCCAUGCAAUGGCAUGACUCAUUACUGUCUUCAUCAAGAGGAAUUGGGCUGUGCCAGCAAUUGUGGAAGGAGUCUUGUCUUCUGCUGACAACAGUCAUAACUCGAUCAAAGCCCAGUCCUGACUUCAGGCUUUUCAAGAAAUUUUGUCUAGAAAAAGGAUCAGAAUAGAAAGUUCUUCCUUAUCACAGAUAGUCCACUGACUUUUGAGCCAACAAAUCUUAAAGUUUGUGACUGAAUCCUAUGGGUGAAUGGGGGUGGGGAGAGACCUGCUCAGAAUAAUUUGGGAGCUCAUUCACAAUUUUGUUACACCACAGAUAUUUUUGAUCAUGAGACUAAGGUAAAUCUUUUGAUCCAAGAUCAUACAAAUGCCAUUAUGAAUGCUGCUAAAAGAAACCACAAUGCCUCAUAGCUGAGGCACCAUUUCAAAAAGUGGAGAUGUGAUAUAAAAUUUCAAAUGUGGAAGAAGGACUUUCUCUGGUGUGAAGCCUACUGAGUCUUACUAGUUUCUCUGCGAUCAGAAGUCUUCAAUACCUAAAAACACCACUGAAUUCUUUUGAAUGUUACUUCUGCUCAGGUGAAUUUAAAAUUUAACUUAAAUUCAUCAUCCUUUUUGGCUUACAAAAAAGCUUCACAGGCAUAUACCCCACCAAAAUGAUUCCAUUUCUAUACAAUGAUAAUGAUGAGCCAUGAAUUAACUCAGUCUUGGAGUGUGGACAUAUAAGAGCCCAUGUUUUUCUGCAUUCCCUACAACUGAAAAAAAAAACGAAGUCAACUAGAUGCCAUAGAUAAUAACCCAAAUUCUUGUUCAGAUUAAAAGCAAUCUUUAACUAUUUUACUAUUGAGAAAAAUUAAACUUUACUUUUAUUAUAUUGAUAUACUUGGAUCUAAUUCAAAUGAGUAAACAUAAUAUUUUAUGUAAUUAUUGUGAGUGUAUUUUAUUACUACAAGCAUAGUGCCUACUACAAGCUGGCACUAGCCAUUUCAUAUACUGCCUAUUUCAACCUUUUAAAUAAUCCCAUGAAAACCGAAUUAAUAUUACUUUCUUUCCACAGACCAGAAAAAGAAGGCAUGGAGAGAUUAAGUAACUUGUCCAGUAUUACACAGCUACUAUGUGAUAAUUCCAAAUAGCAUGUGCCUGUCUGAUUCUAGAGCCCAUCUUUAGAUUAUACAUUAAAGGAAUUAAUUUUCAAUGCAAAAGCAAACAUUGAAUGUAAACUGCUCAGAUUCUGCAUGCUGUUUUGUGAAAUUUGUUUGGGUUUCAUCAAAAUGUUAGGGCUUCAUAAUCAGAAAAACCUCAGAAUCACUGGACGAAAAAAACCCACAUAGUUUGGUUAAGGUGUCUGUCUCACUGCAUCACGGUGUCUGGCAUAUGGCAGAUGCUUCCUGUAUAAACAUUUGCCAAAUGGCACACAGUUAGGAUGAUUGAUCUAGACUACCAAGGGGAAAUUAGAUUAUUAGUCCACAAUGGAGGUAAGAAAGAAUAUGUUUGGAAUGCGGGAGAUCCCUUACAGCGUCUCCUAGUAUUCUCAUGGCCUAUUGUUAAGGUCAAUAGGAAGUGACAACAGCCCAAUCCAGGCAGGAUAACAAAUGGCCCAGAACCUUCAGAAAUGAAGGUAUAGGUCACCAUACUAGGUAAAGAACCAAGAACUGCUGAGGUGCUUGUUGAAGGCCACAGGUGUACAGAAUGGGUAGUACAAGACAGUAGUUAUAAAUUCCAGCUAUGACUAUGUGACCAGCUACAGUUAUGAGAUUGUAACUCUCAUGAGUAUUUCUUUCUGAUUUUAUUAAUAUACUCAUGCACAUAUACACAUGUAUUAAGUAAAUAUCUUUGUUUUCUUUUUUUUAACAUAACUGACUUAAUAUAAGUACUUAGGAAUUAUUACAUUAUACUACUUAAGUUAUGGAAUGUAAGGAAAAGAGUAAGCAUCACCCCCCCCCAAAAAAAACUUUGCCUUUUAUUCUCAGGAGGGAAUUGGUGCAUUUCUGUCUGUAUGCAAGCUAAUUGUAUCAUGUUAGGCAUAAUUAGGAACUUACUAUUGUAUUUGAAGAUUAAGUAUGGUUUAAGGAGAUGUGUCUGACUGUCAGUUUACAAGGGGUGGACUGUGACCAUUAAUUGGGAUACACUGACUUGACUUGAAUAAGACCCACCUAGCAGAUUACUGAAGCACAGUUCUGGGCGUGUUUGUGGAUAACUGACAAACUGAGGGGGAAGACCCACCCAGAAGACCAUGGGCACCAACCAAUAGUCUUACAGCCUGGAUGGCGUAACAGGGGAAAGAAGAAGAAAGUGUCCCCAUUUUGGAAGAGCUCCAGUCUUCAAUAUUGCUUUUGGAUAUCAAUCUCCAGUUUCCUCAGCCUUACAAUGGAGACUUACACCAGUGACUACAGUGAACUUCCAGGCCUUUGAUCUUGGGUUCCAUCUUCUUUGGCUGAGUAGUUAACUGGAUCCUCCAGCUCUCCAGCAUGCAGAGAACCAUAAUGGACUCUUCUGCCUCUGACUCUAUAAUCCUACUUUUAAUAACCCCCUUCUAUAAUUAUUCAUAUAUUUUAUUGAUUCCAUUCCUCUAGAGAAUGCAAACUAAUACAGUAUGUAUUUAUAUGAAUUUUUGUAUCAUUUUUAACACAAAGAAUAGAAUACUACUUGUUUUUUCACUCUAAAAAUAUAAAAUUUGGAGUUCUUUCCAUAUUGAUUCAUUUUUUAUUCAUUAAUUUGACAAGUUUUUAUUCAGUGCUUACCAUGUGCCAGGCACUUGCAAGUGGUGAAGAUACAGCAGUAGACAACAUACACAAAAUAUAUACUCCUGAAACUUAACACACUAGCAGAGAGUGCAGGAAAGACAGACAGAACCUCACUAAGCAGUGAAAUAUAUAUAGUAUAUCCAAUGAUGAUAAGUACUAUGCAGAAAAAUAAAGCUGGGAGAAAAGCUGAACAGCAGCUGUAGGGAUCUAAAUGAAAGAGGGGCUAGUGUACCCUGUAAUCCUAGUGCUCAGGAGACUGAGACAGAAGGAUUGCUGUGGAUUCGAGGCCAGCCUGGGCUACAUAGUGAGUCCCUGUCUCAAAAAAAUACAGCCAGAUAAAGUUUUUUUACUUUAUUUUAUUUUACCUUAUUUUUGAAGUACCAGAGGCCAAACUCAGGGUCUUUUUCACACUGAGCUACAUCACUAUUCCCUCUCCCCCUUUAAAACUUAUUUUUGAACCAGGAUAUUACUAAGUCUCUAAGUUGCCCAGGCUUGGCUCAAACUUGCAGUGUUCCUGCCUCAGUCUCCCAGAGUAAUCCCAACAAUUACAGGCAUGUGCUGCCAUGCCUGCCUCCAAUUUGGAUUUUUUCCAAUUCCAUUGAUGUAACUUCUAAUUUAUUCAACAUAUAUAUAUAAUGCCAGACACUGUUCUAUUCAUGUAUCAGUGCCACAUUUAACAAUGUUUUUACUUAUAAAAUAUAUUUUACCAUCUAAUUGAAAAAGUGCAUCUCAUUUUAUUUAUUUUUUUAGACUUUCCCUGCAUCUUGCAUUUGCUUGUUUCUCAUUUCAAUCUUAGAACCAGUUUACCUGGUUCUAAAAUAGGUCAUGUUUGUAUUUUUAUGGGAUUACACUAAAUUUACUUAGGGAGAAUUAAUAUCUUUGUCUUGUCCAGAAUAAGAGUAUCUUAAGUCAUUUGAUUUAUCUUUUCGAAAUUCCUUACUAGUGUUUUAAUAUUCUUCAUAAAAUUUUUCUCAUUUCCU